This is a long non-coding RNA of Poecilia reticulata (guppy), 851 nucleotides long. RefSeq lists it as uncharacterized. Lineage: Eukaryota; Metazoa; Chordata; Actinopteri; Cyprinodontiformes; Poeciliidae. The record is from RefSeq and is a predicted model, not a curated record.
CCGACUUGACUCGGCUCGGCUCUGUUUCGGAGUGACCGCGUUUCCACCGGCCCUUCUUGGCUCUGUAGCAGGGUACCGCCUCCUGGUGGGGGUAGGGGGGGUUGUAUCGCCCCGCCUACAGGCUCUGUGUGCUGUGCUUCGUUACAUGCGACCUAACACGAGUUGUUGCUUUUCUGAUACAAAAGAAGAGAGAGYUGAGCUAUUUUUACAGCCUGAUUGCUAUUUUUCUGAGAUGUCAAGAAAUGUGACAGUGGGAGGAAUGCUGCGAUGUGGUGAGGAGGAGCUGAUAUCCACCUUGCAGAGCCAGGAAAGYAGGUGGCUCAGACAGUUCAGAUGUCACCCACGUUCUACCCCUGGGAAGCAGCGAGGUCCAACCUGGGCGCACACCUGCAGCUCGUUUAGAGGGCGUGGAUCUUGGAUAUAAGGAGCAGCUCCGCUCCUUCUCAUCGCCUGAGUGUUUGCUUACCUUGAUGAUCCAGCUGUCUCCUCGUUGUUGUGGAUCACCUACCUCCUGUGUCUUCCCCCGUCGCUGCCGGUGUUACUGGUCAGACGCCACCCCUCGUGUGUUCAUCUUUCCCCCCUUCGUGGAUCCUUCUCCGGUGGAUUCCCCUUCGGAGCGUGCCCGGUCAGGAGCCCCAAGUCUGAACCUCACCGGAGAAAAGAUACAAGAACAGGAACCUACGCCGCUACUCCGGCCGUUAAUUAUCACUGUCCGCUCUCCAACGAGUCAUACUCACACAUCCCAAGCUGAUCACUCCACCCUUCUCAAUAAGACGACCUGGUCCUCCGCUCCAGUAUUCUUCCCCUCUCCAUUCUUCCCCCAACUUCAAUAAAUCAUAAUUGUACUCUCA